AUGAGAGGAACAGGAGCAGACUGCUGCUGGACAGACUCACUCAGCUCCUUCAGGUCCAUCUCGGCCUUGCUUCGAUCUGUGCUCUUAUCCAGGAAGUCCAUAGACUCUUCACUGGCGCUGAAGUGGCUGGAGGUGGCCUUCUUCUCAGCGUCCUGCUCCACAUCGGAGCCCGUCUGCACGGAGGAGUUUGGACUCAUGGGGGAGCGUGGCAUGUCAGACAAGGAGAUCCUGCAACCUGAGCCCCCUCUCAGCAUUGGCUUGCUCAUCAGGAUCUUGGGCGACACCAUCAUGUCAAAGCUGAGCUUGACUUUCUCCUGCUUGUCCAUCUUGGCAGCACCUGCGCUGGGGUUGGAGGGGUCAAGCAGCAUUUGGUACUGGCUCUUGGGCGUGUAGGGUAUCCUGAAUGGAGAGUAAUUAAAAACCCCAAACUUCCGGCGGAUGUUCUCCACGUAAACCUCCAUCACUUGCAUUGUACUGUUGAAGAUGCUUUUAGUCUUUUUCACAGAAAAAGGAAUUUCUUUAGACAUGAGGUAGCAAUUAUUUAUUGGAACCCAGGCUCUGUCAUGUCAUAAGAAACAGGUAUCCACCUGCCCAUCUUUAUCCCUCAGAGCUUUCGCAGGCCAGAAUGGAAACCCCUUCAGUUUUGCCCAAACCCAAGGAUGUGGAUUGCUACAAGGCUCACAAAACCAGUUAUCUCGUUUUUGGCAGGCAGCUAGAUAACACUCUGGACAAACUUCAAUUUCAUUCAUCUCAUGCUCACAGAUUUUGAUGACUACUUUUGCAAUUUGUGUCAUUUUGUGAUUUCUCCCAUUAUAAAUAAUGCAGUUGUGCCAAAUCCAUUUUGCAUCAGCCAGGAAGGCUUCUGUGCAGCCAUACAUUUUCUUUUUAGCAUUCUUUCCCAAUGUACAAAGGUCCAUGGGGUGGAAGAUAUAUUCUGCAUAGUCAGGAUGUCGCUCCAAUGGGACAGGCUUCUGAAAUGCAUCUGUCCCUGGCUGUUUCAUUUUCUGAAUGGUGAACUUGAGCAGGUAUGAUAACUGUUCGAUGGUGAGCAUCAUCAUGGCUUUACUCUGAGUCUCGAUGCAUUCUGCUACUGUGAUCUUCUCACAUUCAGGACAAAACCAGUCCCCCUCUGGUUCCGAUGUCAGUCUCAGACACAGCAUGAUAAACCCCGGGACAGAGCUCACAGCAAAGGACUUGGCCUUCCUGGUGACAAACCCAGCAGUAGAAAUCAUUUCGUCCAUCCUGCGGUACAACAUCAACAGGGUCUGUGGUGAGUGGCUGCUUCAUAUAGUAAAACGGACCAUGUCUUAGUUCUAACUGCUCCUUAUUGUUAUUGUUCAGUAAGCCAGGUUUCUUUUUCUUUUUAAUGGGACUUGUGCAUGUGUCCUGUGGUGAGUGGCCAUUGGAGGAAUGAGGAGGGCUGGGGAACUUUCUUUUCUGGACUGUUCUCUCUGUGAAGCCAGGAUCUUUGGAGCAGGUAGAAAUAUCCAUGCCGUCUACCACCUCCUGUUCUAUUUUUAUUUCCUCUUCAGCCAAGAUCAAAUCACAAAGUAGAAAAAUAUGCCUAGGCUAGAAGCAAAAGGCCUGGCUUCAAAACAUUCAAACCACCAGCAUUUAGCCCAGGAAUUAAGGUUAGGUUUUCCACACUCCCAGCCCCUGGGAUGUUUCUUCUCUGCAGCAGGCAUGGUUUAGAGAAAGCAUUCAGCACUCUUCUAAGCUGUGACUAAUUAUCCCCCACUACACCCCAUAUUUACAUUGUUAAAACCAAAACUGACAUAUGGGUUCCAGUUGAUUUACAAUGACUUUGACAAGAAAGCCCUACAUUAUAUGUUAGUAAAAAGAAAAUAUUAAAAAAUCUUAAACAUGUUAAAUGUUUUCUGAGAUUACUAAUUGCUGCCAUCUUAGACAUUAUUGCAGUUACCACUGUGGCAGUCGUAGCUGAAAUGGCUCUUCAUAAAUCUGUACAAACAGUUCAUGUUGUACAAAAUGGCAUAAAGAUGCCAAUGUCCUUUGAACCACUCAACAAAACAUUGAUGAGAUGCCAAUGUCCUUUGAACCACUCAACAAAAAAUUGAUGAAAAGUUGGCCUCCCACGUGGCCAACCUUCAACAGUCUGUAAAAGAUCAAUUAGUCAGUUUACAAAAACAAGUGAGACUAAGAUGUGAUUAGAACUAUACUUCCUU
Molecule: long non-coding RNA, 2183 nt
Filed under: Ovis aries (sheep)
Lineage: Eukaryota; Metazoa; Chordata; Mammalia; Artiodactyla; Bovidae
Description: lncRNA (ENSOARG00000025354.1)
Source: RNAcentral